This 253-nucleotide ribosomal RNA is filed under the name uncultured bacterium. RNAcentral's name for it is "partial 16S ribosomal RNA". It matches the Rfam family "Bacterial small subunit ribosomal RNA", at positions 524 to 776 of the family's 1533-position model. The record is from RNAcentral.
GACGUAGGUGGCGAACGUUAUCCGGAAUUAUUGGGCGUAAAGGAUGCGUAGAUGGUGUAGUAAGUUAUCGGUGGCAAAUCGAGGCUCAACCUCGUGGAAGUCGGUAAUACUGCUAUGCUAGAGGAUAGGAGAGGUUAACGGAACUCCCUGUGGAGCGGUGAAAUGCGUAGAUAUUAGGAAGAACACCGGUGGCGAAGGCGGCCCACUGGUCCGGUACUGACGCUGAGGUGCGAAAGCGUGGGGAGCAAACAGG